ACCAGCAUGGUACAGUGGCUAGAGCAUUGGACUAGGACUCAGGAAAUGGGGUUCAAAUCCCCAUUCAGUCA
Molecule: non-coding RNA, 71 nt
Organism: Phrynosoma platyrhinos (Desert horned lizard)
Lineage: Eukaryota; Metazoa; Chordata; Lepidosauria; Squamata; Phrynosomatidae
Source: the annotation of a GenBank genome assembly